Molecule: ribosomal RNA, 1105 nt
Filed under: Escherichia coli
Lineage: Bacteria; Pseudomonadati; Pseudomonadota; Gammaproteobacteria; Enterobacterales; Enterobacteriaceae
Description: partial 23S ribosomal RNA
Rfam family: Bacterial large subunit ribosomal RNA
Source: RNAcentral
AUAAUGGGUCAGCGACUUAUAUUCUGUAGCAAGGUUAACCGAAUAGGGGAGCCGAAGGGAAACCGAGUCUUAACUGGGCGUUAAGUUGCAGGGUAUAGACCCGAAACCCGGUGAUCUAGCCAUGGGCAGGUUGAAGGUUGGGUAACACUAACUGGAGGACCGAACCGACUAAUGUUGAAAAAUUAGCGGAUGACUUGUGGCUGGGGGUGAAAGGCCAAUCAAACCGGGAGAUAGCUGGUUCUCCCCGAAAGCUAUUUAGGUAGCGCCUCGUGAAUUCAUCUCCGGGGGUAGAGCACUGUUUCGGCAAGGGGGUCAUCCCGACUUACCAACCCGAUGCAAACUGCGAAUACCGGAGAAUGUUAUCACGGGAGACACACGGCGGGUGCUAACGUCCGUCGUGAAGAGGGAAACAACCCAGACCGCCAGCUAAGGUCCCAAAGUCAUGGUUAAGUGGGAAACGAUGUGGGAAGGCCCAGACAGCCAGGAUGUUGGCUUAGAAGCAGCCAUCAUUUAAAGAAAGCGUAAUAGCUCACUGGUCGAGUCGGCCUGCGCGGAAGAUGUAACGGGGCUAAACCAUGCACCGAAGCUGCGGCAGCGACGCUUAUGCGUUGUUGGGUAGGGGAGCGUUCUGUAAGCCUGCGAAGGUGUGCUGUGAGGCAUGCUGGAGGUAUCAGAAGUGCGAAUGCUGACAUAAGUAACGAUAAAGCGGGUGAAAAGCCCGCUCGCCGGAAGACCAAGGGUUCCUGUCCAACGUUAAUCGGGGCAGGGUGAGUCGACCCCUAAGGCGAGGCCGAAAGGCGUAGUCGAUGGGAAACAGGUUAAUAUUCCUGUACUUGGUGUUACUGCGAAGGGGGGACGGAGAAGGCUAUGUUGGCCGGGCGACGGUUGUCCCGGUUUAAGCGUGUAGGCUGGUUUUCCAGGCAAAUCCGGAAAAUCAAGGCUGAGGCGUGAUGACGAGGCACUACGGUGCUGAAGCAACAAAUGCCCUGCUUCCAGGAAAAGCCUCUAAGCAUCAGGUAACAUCAAAUCGUACCCCAAACCGACACAGGUGGUCAGGUAGAGAAUACCAAGGCGCUUGAGAGAACUCGGGUGAAGGAACUAGGCA